Long non-coding RNA from Spinacia oleracea (spinach), 979 nucleotides. RefSeq lists it as uncharacterized. The record is from RefSeq and is a predicted model, not a curated record. The transcript is spliced from 3 exons. Lineage: Eukaryota; Viridiplantae; Streptophyta; Magnoliopsida; Caryophyllales; Amaranthaceae.
ACCUUAGAACUAAGGAAAUGGUUGGCCAUGGCCCAUGGGCAUAUCAAGAAUUCAAGAGGUUUACCUCACCAGUUGUGGCCAUGGGCAUAUCAAGAGGUUUAUAUCAUCAUUCAUGAUUCUAAUGUCAUAGUAAUUAAGGAAUACUUAUUACUGGAAUAAGUUAUGAAGAUUUGGAAGAGAUGUAUCGGCAAGGGGACAAGGUGGGGCCUGUGAAUUUGAGUUUUAUGUUCAUAUUGUUUAUGAUUGUAUUACUUUCUUUCUUAAUGCGUCUUGCUAGUGUAUCCUUUUGGUUCAUUCAGGCUGAGACCACUUGGGCUUUCACUGUAUUGGGAUACUUGGGGAAGCUUAUAAUGGGAAUCUUAGGGUGAGUGUUGAUUUUAUUGAAUCUGGUUACUGCAUUAAUGGUUUUGUGUUGUUGUUCAGAUAUCUUCAUCUGAUUCUCCUUCCUCCUUCCUCCUUCCUCCUUCCUCCUUCCUAAACUACAGGUACCUUUCUUCCCUAAUCUUGAAUUGUGUUUGGUCUAUUUCAUUAUUUUGCAGAAUUUUUUUCUUCGAGAAAUCGAGUUUUCUAAGAUUCAAUUUAAGGGUUUGGGUAAUUAUAAUUAGUGUGACGGUUUUAUUAGAUUUUUAGAUCUAUGCUUGUCAAUUCUUCUUUCAUUAUCAUUCUUUUGCUACUUAUAUUCAUAAUUCUUAGUAUCCUUGUCAGAUCUGCAACAACCAUAUAUUACAUGGUUUCUAAACAAGGUUAUAGCAGCGAAUGACGAAUCUUGAAAGUAAACAGGUGUGCAAGAUACAAUUGGAGACAUUUUUGUUCAAGAUUGGAAUGCUUAAUGACGUAAAAAUUCCAAUUUUUAUUUUAUUUCAGAAGUAGUACAUUGAUACUUGUAUAGAAAUAGCUUAAUAGACACUAGAUUGGUUCAUAUAUAUGACGAUUGUAUGUAUAUUGUUCUAUAUAUGAAGUAUAUGAAAUAUAUGCUGGA